CUUUCACUGGUCGUAAGCUUAUUAAAACGGUAAAAUACACACCGGGGCGAGAGCUGGUUAAGUUUGGCAAUGCGUGGACUCUUUAAAGUCUUUCCACGGUUCGAGACUAAUCGGAGGGGGAGGGGAGGAACUGGAUUUGCGGAGCCGUGCUCGAGAGCUGGCCGCGGGUGAACUGGGUGGAGGUAGAGGCUAGGUUGGAAGUGCUGGCACGGGCCUCGAAGAGGUUUAGGGAUCGUGCCGUCUCAUUGGCAGUUACUUCGUCAGGGGUUGGGGUGCGUGUGAGUCCGCCGAGGGGUUCCAGAGCUGCGGGGUUGAGGAGGCCAUCGAAGAAGUCGAAGCCGGCCCAGCGGUGUUCGAACUUGAUGUUGGCGCGGGCGAAGCCUGCCGGUGGGAGAUUUCUGGAAAGCCGGGCGUUCCAGAUGAUUUUGGCGUAGAAGCGGCAGAACUUCCGCAGGGUGGUGGUGACUUUCACAACCCCGGCGAUUUGGGCCAGAGAGAUGGUGGCUGUGGG
Molecule: unclassified non-coding RNA, 511 nt
Filed under: Hevea brasiliensis (rubber tree)
Lineage: Eukaryota; Viridiplantae; Streptophyta; Magnoliopsida; Malpighiales; Euphorbiaceae
Source: RNAcentral